Molecule: ribosomal RNA, 460 nt
Filed under: uncultured bacterium
Lineage: Bacteria
Description: partial 16S ribosomal RNA
Rfam family: Bacterial small subunit ribosomal RNA
Source: RNAcentral
CCUACGGGUGGCAGCAGUGAGGAAUAUUGGUCAAUGGACGAGAGUCUGAACCAGCCAAGUAGCGUGAAGGAUGACUGCCCUACGGGUUGUAAACUUCUUUUAUAUGGGAAUAAAAUGGUCCACGUGUGGCUUUUUGUAUGUACCUUAUGAAUAAGGAUCGGCUAACUCCGUGCCAGCAGCCGCGGUAAUACGGAGGAUCCGAGCGUUAUCCGGAUUUAUUGGGUUUAAAGGGAGCGUAGGUGGGUUGUUAAGUCAGUUGUGAAAGUUUGCGGCUCAACCGUAAAAUUGCAGUUGAAACUGGCAGUCUUGAGUACAGUAGAGGUGGGCGGAAUUCGUGGUGUAGCGGUGAAAUGCUUAGAUAUCACGAAGAACUCCGAUGGCGAAGGCAGCUCACUGGACUGCAACUGACACUGAGGCUCGAAAGUGUGGGUAUCAAACAGGAUUAGAUACCCCUGUAGUC